RNAcentral lists this ribosomal RNA (1498 nucleotides) under uncultured bacterium. Its description in RNAcentral is "16S ribosomal RNA". It matches the Rfam family "Bacterial small subunit ribosomal RNA". The record is from RNAcentral.
AGAGUUUGAUUAUGCUCAGGGAUGAACGCUAGCGACAGGCCUAACACAUGCAAGUCGAGGGGCAUCGGGGCGAGGAGCAAUCCUUGCCGCCGGCGACCGGCGCACGGGUGAGUAACGCGUAUGCGACCUGCCCGUUGCAGGGGGAUAAUCGGGAGAAAUCCCGUCUAAUACCGCGUAACGCCGCGGGGCUGCAUGGCCCUGCGGCCAAAGGGAGCGAUUCCGGCAACGGAUGGGCAUGCGUGACAUUAGCUAGUUGGCGGGGCAACGGCCCACCAAGGCGACGAUGUCUAGGGGUUCUGAGAGGAAGGUCCCCCACACUGGUACUGAGACACGGACCAGACUCCUACGGGAGGCAGCAGUGAGGAAUAUUGGUCAAUGGGCGCGAGCCUGAACCAGCCAAGUCGCGUGAGGGAUGACGGCCCUACGGGUUGUAAACCUCUUUUGUCGGGGAGCAAAUUCCGCCACGUGUGGCGGAGUCGAGAGUACCCGAAGAAAAAGCAUCGGCUAACUCCGUGCCAGCAGCCGCGGUAAUACGGAGGAUGCGAGCGUUAUCCGGAUUUAUUGGGUUUAAAGGGUGCGUAGGCGGACUGUCAAGUCAGCGGUAAAAUACGGGGGCUCAACCUCCGCCCGCCGUUGAAACUGACGGUCUUGAGUGGGCGAGAAGUAUGCGGAAUGCGUGGUGUAGCGGUGAAAUGCAUAGAUAUCACGCAGAACUCCGAUUGCGAAGGCAGCAUACCGGCGCCCAACUGACGCUGAAGCACGAAAGCGUGGGUAUCGAACAGGAUUAGAUACCCUGGUAGUCCACGCAGUAAACGAUGAAUACUAGCUGUCCGGGGCGAAUGAGCCCUGGGUGGCACAGCGAAAGCGUUAAGUAUUCCACCUGGGGAGUACGCCGGCAACGGUGAAACUCAAAGGAAUUGACGGGGGCCCGCACAAGCGGAGGAACAUGUGGUUUAAUUCGAUGAUACGCGAGGAACCUUACCCGGGCUCAAACGACACAGGAACGUACCUGAAAGGGUUCGGCUCUACGGAGCCUGUGUCGAGGUGCUGCAUGGUUGUCGUCAGCUCGUGCCGUGAGGUGUCGGCUUAAGUGCCAUAACGAGCGCAACCCCCAUCGACAGUUGCUAACAGGUUAGGCUGAGGACUCUGUCGAGACUGCCGGCGCAAGCUGCGAGGAAGGCGGGGAUGACGUCAAAUCAGCACGGCCCUUACGUCCGGGGCGACACACGUGUUACAAUGGCAGGUACAGCGGGAAGCCACCUGGCGACAGGGAGCGGAACCCGAAAGCCUGUCUCAGUUCGGAUUGGAGUCUGCAACCCGACUCCAUGAAGCUGGAUUCGCUAGUAAUCGCGCAUCAGCCACGGCGCGGUGAAUACGUUCCCGGGCCCUGUACACACCGCCCGUCAAGCCAUGGAAGCCGGGGGUGCCUGAAGUGCGCUGCCGCGAGGAGCGCCCUAGGGUAAAACCGGUGACUGGGGCUAAGUCGUAACAAGGUAGC